This 468-nucleotide ribosomal RNA is filed under the name uncultured bacterium. RNAcentral's name for it is "partial 16S ribosomal RNA". It matches the Rfam family "Bacterial small subunit ribosomal RNA", at positions 28 to 507 of the family's 1533-position model. The record is from RNAcentral.
GACGAACGCUGGCGGCGUGCUUAACACAUGCAAGUCGAACGGAAAGGCCCUGCUUUUGUGGGGUGCUCGAGUGGCGAACGGGUGAGUAACACGUGAGUAACCUGCCCUUGACUUUGGGAUAACUUCAGGAAACUGGGGCUAAUACCGGAUAGGAGCUCUUGCUGCAUGGUGGGGGUUGGAAAGUUUCGGCGGUUGGGGAUGGACUCGCGGCUUAUCAGCUUGUUGGUGGGGUAGUGGCUUACCAAGGCUUUGACGGGUAGCCGGCCUGAGAGGGUGACCGGCCACAUUGGGACUGAGAUACGGCCCAGACUCCUCCGGGAGGCAGCAGUGGGGAAUAUUGCACAAUGGGCGGAAGCCUGAUGCAGCAACGCCGCGUGCGGGAUGACGGCCUUCGGGUUGUAAACCGCUUUCGCCUGUGACGAAGCGUGAGUGACGGUAAUGGGUAAAGAAGCACCGGCUAACUACGUG